Molecule: long non-coding RNA, 107 nt
Organism: Neotoma lepida (desert woodrat)
Lineage: Eukaryota; Metazoa; Chordata; Mammalia; Rodentia; Cricetidae
Rfam family: GNAS antisense RNA 1 conserved region 1
Source: Rfam
CAGAUCCUGCGCUUAGGACUGAGAGGGGGCAGGGAGGACACGCUACAGCCAUUUUGGCCAUCUUCAGCUCGGGUGGGGCUGUAUUUGGAAUCUGUAACCAGAGGGGA